CCUACGGGUGGCAGCAGUGGGGAAUAUUGGGCAAUGGAGGAAACUCUGACCCAGCAACGCCGCGUGAAUGAUGAAGGUCUUCGGAUUGUAAAGUUCUUUUCGAAGGGAAGAAGAAAGUGACGGUACCUUAGGAAUAAGCCUCGGCUAACUACCUGCCAUCGGCCGCGGUAAUCCGUAGGAGGCAAGCGUUCUCCGGAAGGAAUGGGCGUAAAGGGGGCGUAGGGGGUUUGACAAGUUGGUAGCGUAACUACGGGGCUCAAACUAGGCACUACUACCAAAACUGUCGGACGAGAGUGCAGGGGGGGCAAAUGGAAUUCCUAGUGUAGCGGUGGAAUGCGUAGAUAUUAGGAGGAACACCAGUGGCGAAGGCGAUUUGCUGGACUGUAACUGACACUGAGGCACGAAAGCGUGGGGAGCGAACAGGAGUAGAUACCCCAGUAGUC
This 443-nucleotide ribosomal RNA is filed under the name uncultured bacterium. Its description in RNAcentral is "partial 16S ribosomal RNA". It matches the Rfam family "Bacterial small subunit ribosomal RNA", at positions 338 to 795 of the family's 1533-position model. The record is from RNAcentral.